This 740-nucleotide ribosomal RNA is filed under the name uncultured bacterium. Its description in RNAcentral is "bacterial SSU rRNA". It matches the Rfam family "Bacterial small subunit ribosomal RNA", at positions 8 to 796 of the family's 1533-position model. The record is from RNAcentral.
AGAGUUUGAUCCUGGCUCAGAACGAACGCUGGCGGCAGGCUUAACACAUGCAAGUCGAGCGCCCAGCAAUGGGAGCGGCGGACGGGUGAAUAACGCGUGGGAAUAUGCCCUUUGGUACGGAACAACUCAGGGAAACUUGAGCUAAUACCGUAUGAGCCGGUAACGGGAAAGAUUUAUCGCCAAAGGAUUAGCCCGCGUCCGAUUAGCUAGUUGGUGAGGUAACGGCCCACCAAGGCACCGAUCGGUAGCUGGUCUGAGAGGACGACCAGCCACACUGGGACUGAGACACGGCCCAGACUCCUACGGGAGGCAGCAGUGGGGAAUCUUGGACAAUGGGGGAAACCCUGAUCCAGCCAUGCCGCGUGAGUGAUGAAGGCCUUCGGGUUGUAAAACUCUUUCGACGGGGACGAUAAUGACGGUACCCGUAGAAGAAGCUCCGGCUAACUUCGUGCCAGCAGCCGCGGUAAUACGAAGGGGGCUAGCGUUGUUCGGAAUUACUGGGCGUAAAGCGCGCGCAGGCGGCCUUUCAAGUCAGGGGUGAAAGCCCAGAGCUCAACUCUGGAACUGCCCUUGAAACUGUUAGGCUUGAGUACGGGAGAGGUGAGUGGAAUUCCCAGUGUAGAGGUGAAAUUCGUAGAUAUUGGGAAGAACACCGGUGGCGAAGGCGGCUCACUGGCCCGUAACUGACGCUCAGGCGCGACAGCGUGGGGAUCAAACAGGAUUAGAUACCCCUGUAGUCC